GACGAACGCUGGCGGCGUGCUUAACACAUGCAAGUCGAACGGAAAGGCCUGCUUUCCCUUGUGGAUUGCGGGUACUCGAGUGGCGAACGGGUGAGUAACACGUGAGUGAUCUGCCCCCAACUUGGGUAUAAGCCUGGGAAACUGGGUCUAAUUCCCGAUAGGACUGCAGGGUGGUGCCUGUGGUGGAAAACGAUUUUCUAGUGGUUGGGGAUGAGCUCGCGGCCUAUCAGCUUGUUGGUGGGGUAAUGGCCUACCAAGGCGGCGACGGGUAGCCGGCCUGAGAGGGUGGACGGCCACAUUGGGACUGAGAUACGGCCCAGACUCCGACGGGAGGCAGCAGUGGGGAAUAUUGCACAAUGGGCGGAAGCCUGAUGCAGCGACGCCGCGUGGGGGAUGACGGCCUUCGGGUUGUAAACUCCUUUCGACCGCGAGGAAGCCACCUGGUUGGAAGGGUGGUGACGGUAGUGGUAGAAGAAGCACCGGCGAACUACGU
Molecule: ribosomal RNA, 493 nt
Filed under: uncultured bacterium
Lineage: Bacteria
Description: partial 16S ribosomal RNA
Rfam family: Bacterial small subunit ribosomal RNA
Source: RNAcentral